AGAAUGUAUUGGUGAGGAGUGACUUUGGCGGCUGAGGGAGUCUACCCUAGUCUAGAGAAAGUGUUUUUAUUGAAAAUGGACUUGAGGGAGAUGCAAAUUCUGGUAGUGAAGAAGAUGAAAUGGAGGACAUUGAUGAUGGUGUGGAAGUGGAACAUCUACACAUUUUAGAGGAGAACCAAGAAGACAAUGAAGAUAGAAUCUCUGGGAAUGACUCAAGUGAAAUGGAAGUAUGUCUACGCCUACUCCAUGAGUGCAAGAAUAUUCCAUUUUAGGUGUUUUACCUUGGGCCGGGCAUCAGGUAUGUCCUCUUCUCAAGUACAAGGAUAUUCCCAUGCAUGCUAUAUGCCUUUGAUUGUGUUAGUUAUAUUACUUUUGCUUGAGUUUAGAGUUUUCAAUUAUUUUGCAAGUUAGCAUUGUAUAACAAAUUAUUUAUGAUGAAAACUUGUCCAUGAGUUUGAAGGCCAAAUCACAAUUGUUGCAUGAAUUGAAUGACUAUAUUUCGUUCACCCUACACACGAGGCAUCCUUUUCUAGCGUUUCCUUUUCCAUGUCUUUCAUAGGGAGCUAUCACUAAACGAAUGACUGCAUAUGCCACACAAUUUUUUUCAAAGCUGCCUUGUCAGAAUUCUAAAGAUUAAAUGGUUUAUUUUGAUAAUAUUAUUUGUAGAAUGAUUGUAGUCAUAUCAAGUUGAAAGCUAAGUGAUUGUGUAGAUGACCUAGUGACCGUUGAAGGUUGAAGAUUAAGAAGGCGUUUAGGAUUUCUUAUUUAAGUCUUAUAUUAGGAUAUUUUUUUCAUAUAUUGUUGUAGAAUGUAUAUAUAAAUACAAGAUUAAGAUUUCAU
Molecule: long non-coding RNA, 840 nt
Organism: Cucumis melo (muskmelon)
Lineage: Eukaryota; Viridiplantae; Streptophyta; Magnoliopsida; Cucurbitales; Cucurbitaceae
Exons: 4
Source: RefSeq, a predicted model, not a curated record